This 399-nucleotide ribosomal RNA is filed under the name uncultured archaeon. Its description in RNAcentral is "bacterial SSU rRNA". It matches the Rfam family "Archaeal small subunit ribosomal RNA", at positions 345 to 744 of the family's 1478-position model. The record is from RNAcentral.
AACUUUUACAAUGCUUGGAAACAGCGAUAAGGGGACCUCGAGUGCCAGGUUACAAAUCUGGCUGUCGUGAUGCCUAAAAAGCACUGCAUAGCAAGGCCGGGCAAGACCGGUGCCAGCCGCCGCGGUAACACCGGCGGCUCGAGUGGUAACCGCUAUUAUUGGGUCUAAAGGGUCUGUAGCCGGCCGGAUAAGUCUUUUGGGAAAUCUGGCAGCUUAACUGUCAGGCUUUCAGAGGAUACUGUCUGGCUCGAGGCCGGGAGAGGUGAGAGGUACUUCAGGGGUAGGGGUGAAAUCUUGUAAUCCUUGAAGGACCACCAGUGGCGAAGGCGUCUCACCAGAACGGACCUGACGGCAAGGGACGAAAGCUAGGGGCACGAACCGGAUUAGAUACCCGGGUAG